This is a long non-coding RNA of Equus caballus (horse), 11516 nucleotides long. NCBI's taxonomy places the organism in Eukaryota, Metazoa, Chordata, Mammalia, Perissodactyla, Equidae. The record is from Ensembl.
CUCUAACCUAGAGAUCUGCGUUGGCUCAAAUCCAGCAUCAUUUGACACAUGUCUACUAUAUUAUCAGAUAUCGGAGUAGACAUGUUUCAUACUUUCGCUUUUACAACAAGUUAACGAGGUCUCUCACAAUGACAAAAUGAAGGCCCAGAGAGGAACGCUGACUCCCCUAGCUGUUGGGCUGUGAGAAGUUCAAGACACAUGGAGAGGCCAUAAGGGGGCGCUCUGGUCCACAGCCCCAGCAUCAGUUGCCAUUCAUGGGAGCGAGCCAUCCUGGAUGCCCAGCCCACUGAGCCUACAGACGACUUCAGACCCAGCUGAUACUGGACUGCAACCAUACAAGACACCGUAAGCAAGAGUACCCAGCUGAAAUCAAUCAACCUCCACAGCCACAGAGAGAGAACAACAAAUUGUUAUUUUAAGCCAGUUAAUUUUGGGGUAGUUUGUUAUGGAGCAAUAGACCACUGAAAUAAAUAGCAAGGAGAGCAUUGUAACUGGAGGGGAGUGAGCAAAAGGGAAAUUAGUAGGAGACGAAGUCAGAAAUGAACAUGAGAAGUCCAAUUGGAUAUUUCCUCAUAAAGGCUUUGAGUUUUGCUGUGAGUGAAAUGGAGGGCCUUUGCAGGGUAGUGAAAGAGAAGUGACAUGAUCUGACUUACAUUCUUAGAGGAUCUCUCUGGCUGCUGUGUAGGGAAUCAAUUGCAGAUACUGUUGUAACUAUCUAGGGGAGCAAGGAUGAUGGCUCAGAUCAGGUUGGUAGAGUGGUGGGAAGUGAGAAGUUGUUAGCAUCUGUAUAUGUUUUGGAGCUAGAGCACAAAAGUGUUUGCUGAUGGAUUGAGAUGUGAGAGAAUGAAAUGGUUAAGAAUGCCUGAGAUACUGGAAGAAUGUUUCCAUUCUUAACUGAGAUGAGGGAUAUCUCUGGAGGAGCAGGCUCAAGGAGGAAGCUUGAGAGUUCACCCUGGGAUAUUUUAAAUUUGAAACAUUUACUGGACAUCCCAGUGGAAAUAUCAAGUAGGUUUGAGUUAGUGAAGGUAUCAGGGGUGGAGAUAUGCAUAUAUAUAUAUAUAUAUAUAUAUAUGGGAGUUAUCAUCACAUGGACUUUUUAAAACCACAAACUAAUGAGAUCAUCUAUGGAGUGAGUGUUAGAGAAGAGAACAGAAGAGAAGUGGACCAGAGACUGACCCCUGAGGCAUUCCACGGUGAAAAGGCUGGGGGAAGACAAAGAGACAGCAACAUAGACUGAGAAGGAAUAGUCAGACACAUAGGAGGAAAACCGAGACGGGGAGUAUCCUAGAAGUCCAGGGAAGGAAGUGGGUCCAGGAGGAAGGAGUUACCAGCUGGGUCAAAUGCUGCUGAGAGGUCAAGAAGAGAACUGAGGACUGAUUUCUGUUUUCAGCAAAGGGUCUCAGCCAGGUCAUUGCAGACUCUCUUUCUCUCUAUUUCUCCCCAUACACAACACAAUAUUUAUUGAGCAUUUUCUAUAUGGCAGAUACUUCCUAGGACUUAGGGUUACUAGGUUAAAUGAAAUGUUCUCUUGAAGACUUUACAACCAUCCAACUGAUUAAAUAUUUACUGCAUAAUUACUGUGUGUAAGACACUCUGCUAAAUACUCUGAGAGUUAUAAAUGUUGUAUAGGACACACGUUUAACCUAAUUGGAAACAUUAGACAGAAACACACAGACUGUAAAAUUGGAGUACAAGUGAGGCGUAUAAGAAAUGUCACAAUGAAGUGUAAAGUUGCAGUAAAUGGCAGCAUAGAAGACAAAAUGCUAUAUGAUGAAGAAAUUGGGUGCCUAAGUUGGAAAAAUCUGGAAAAACUUCAUGAAAGGCACACAAGUGGAAAAAUGCAGGGGUGGAGAGCGUGUGGCACAGGCAUUGGAGGUCAAUAAGUAAGCAACUUUGGAGAAAUCAGAAAAUGAAUAUAAAAAGGUAAUCAACCUGGUAUAGGAGUUAGGAUGGAGUGUGGUUGGCGGAUGAUAGGACUCAGAAAUAAAAUCACUGAAAUGGAUUCCUGCUUUGAAUAAUACAGGGAAACGGACCCGGGCCCCGGCGGUGAGAGCACUGAAUCUUAACCACUGACCAAUAUGGCUGGCUUUAAAAACGUUUCCUAAGCACUUCUGAUGUGGGUAACCAAAACCUGAACAUAACCCACGCAGCCCCUCCAGGAAGAUCUCCAUCCACUAGGGGAAUCAGACACUGCUUUAAAUCAUUGUCGACACAAUAAAAUAUGGAUAUCAUACAGGCUACAAUUUGGCGUAUUUUAUUUUGCAAUUUAGAAGAAAUUCUUUUAAACAGAAGCCACCAGGAUGUUCACAGUAAGUGGGCUCUCAGAUGCAUUUUGGAUUUUCUCUUUUAUCCUACAAGCUUACCGUUGCUAUUUCCAGAGUUCACUUUUCAUGUCUCUAUUAUGUGUAAUAGAUGAUUUUAAACUCUUUCUUCCCCUUUUAAACUCACUUGAAAGAUAACUAUAGCUCAUCAAAUUUUUCUUAUAUUUUAAAAUAUUAACAUGGGUUUUUAGAACGAUAUUUUCCCUCCCAUUUUUUUUUUUUUUGUAUUUUUAAAUUAGCAGACUGCUUCGACUCUCUGAGAACCAGGAAUCUAGGCAGCCUUCUGGCCUAAACCUCUGUUAGUAGAUGAUGGCAAUUUUAACAAAACUGGCUACGAGUGUCUUUAGGGCUUUCUAGUUGUCCUGAUGGGGACAUGUAGGCUACAGAACAAUGGAAAGUGGGUCUGGCUCAAUGAUAUUUAAACUCUCUUGCAGCUGUUCUAUCUAACAUCUUGAGGGCACAUUAGUAUCAUUUGUAUUCUGAGAUCCUUUCGACAUCAGUGUAACCCGCAGCAUUGAACUCAACAUUGGCACAUACAUUCCAGCUCAGGACAGGGUGUGCGUAAAGGAAUUCUGGAGCAAGAACUGUCUAGCUGCAAGAUGAACUGACAAAAAUCUCUUGUUGGAGGAUAUAGAGGUGAGGGAAAAAAUAGGCUUUAUUUGCUAUUAGUGGAAGGGUCAGUCUAAAAGUGAAAUGGCUCUGACAUCUGGCAAUUAGCAGAGAUUGUACAUUUUAUAGGUCCUAUGGGUACCAGGGCUGGUCCUGAGACAAGUGAACCAGGAAAUAGGAAUGCGGUAUUGGGUCAGGGGGGAGCAGGCAGAUGACCUCUAAGGUCAGUUAACUCUUUUCAAUUUCUGAGAAGUGAGUUUGAAAGUGAAAUCUGUCUCUUCUCAGAAAACGUGACUUAGAAGCAAACAUGUGUAAGAAAGUACCUUUUGCACUUUUUGUGGUUUGAGCUAAGCAAGGUAAAUUGCUGGUGUAAGCUUGAAACUUGCAGCUCUGUUUUUGCAGAAAAAUUUGAGCCCUUUACACCCUGAAUGCCUCUAGUGUACACACAUCCCUUUGGAAGUCCACUCUGCCCUACCUGGAUAACAAAUCACAUCCAGAGAAGUGCCACCAAAACAAGGGGUAGCUGAUGCAAAUCAUAGAUACCACUUUAACUGCCCAACGCCGAAAAGGGUCCCACAUUUUCACUGCCCUUUAGCCAGCUCUGUGCAUCCAUACCCCAACCUCUUCAUGUUUGCUGUAGAGGGUUGUGCCUGGGCAUAGAGAGCCAGAAGUGCCUUACAACCCCCAGGGCAGCCUGUUGUCAAUGCCUGACUGACCACAGGAAUACAAUAGCCAGCCUCCUUUGUCUUUAGACAAGACCACUUUCAGAGAGUAACUGAUACUCCAGGCUCCCUGCAGGAUCAGGCUGCAGCUUGGGGCUUCACGGAGAUCACACCCUCGCUUGGCGUCUUCCUCUUCCUUCCUCUGCUUCCUUUCCUCCUUUCCUGGUUUCUUGUGGGAGCACUUCCUUAAUACAUCCCCGGCACUAAAAUCUGCACUUCUGGGUCUGCUUCUGAGAGAACUGGGCCUCAAACUCAAAGGCAGUUAGGGUGGAUUGAAUUGAGAUUUAAAGGAGAGAAUAAGCAAGUUUAAUUUGUUUGAGGCAACUAGUCCUAUUUAGGCACAAAACAAGUGAAUGACAAUUCCGGAAAAGAGUUUAGAAAUCCAGUUACUGGAUGGCAAUUUGCAGAAAUUUAAUGAAGCUAAAGAAAUUCAUAAUUCUUUUGUGCCUGUGUAUCAGCUGAGACAGACUUUAACAGGUGAAACUGCCUGGGUUCAGCUGAAAUGUGAUGGAGUCUAAGUUCCAUGCAUCUCGGAUCUAAGAUCCAUGAACGCAUCUUGCAAUUUAGAACGUGACUAUACAAAGUGAAGUUAGAGACAUGACCUUGUUUCUCACCCAUGUCUCCCUAGGACUCAGUAGUUUAGGAAGCUUCCCCGUGCUACAAGAACCUGUGACUUUCUGUCUAAAAUAACAUGCUUGACCUGAUGUCAGGUGGGCUGUAAAUGCCAGUAGUUCUCAACUAAUAGGAGUCAGUGCAUUAAAUAUACCCUAUUUCUCACUGUUUAAGUGAGUAAUCUCUGAGGCGUGUUCAAUGCGACCUCCUUGAGGUUGAAACCUAGUCUCUCACAAGGGCAGUCUCUUUUGGCUUCUUUUUCUUGCCUGUCCUCAUUCUUCACCCCCCUACUGAUGUUUCCUGGGAUCUCACUCCAAAUCUACUUGCAAUGAAUCCCUGUGUCAACAUCUGUUUCUGAAGCUGGGUACCUGCGGGUUACUGUAGAUACUCAACAAGCAAUUUUCCGUUUUCUUGUUUAACUUGAGGAGUGACUCAGGGGUCUUAAGGAUUUGUGAGCUUGUUUUGCAGAAAAAAGAGAACGCCUUUGGGAAGGUUGCAAUCACUGGAUGGCUGGCCCCCCGCAGCUGUUGAACCCAGAAUUCAGAUUGCCCAGGGGCUUAUCAAGAGUGUCCCCUUUGUUUCUCUGAAGCUCCUCCUACAAAUCCCCUUAGCACUAUAAAAUCCCCCUGCUUUUUGCUCUUGCUAAGGUGGACUUGAGCAAACCCAUGCUCCCACCUUGUUUUGGCCAAUUUGAAUAAAACCUUUCUCCAUCUCCAAACACUAUGUCUCAAUGUUUGGCUGACUGCUCCUCGGGCACAUGAAUUUGAGAUUAAGAGAUUAGGUAUCAAUUCUGGUGAGCCAGCCAGGAGUCUUGUGUCCGUAGCUGGAUGGGCACAGUGAGGGUUUGAGCAGUUGGUGGUCCCCAGCAGCUGCCUAGGUGUCUUUGCCCAGGGGACUUCCUCUGCUUCUCCUCCCUUCCCACUGGCAUCAACCGCCCUUGGUGCAGCACUCACUUGGAGUGGAGAAAUGUAUUGGACCUCGGUCUACUUUUUGUCAUUGUGUGGAUGCAUUUGUCUUAUCAGAUAUGAGUACUUUUGAUUUUGCUUUGCUGGGUGAGUCAUCACAACACACGCAGCUACAAAUUCCCUGUCUCCCUGUUUGCAUUUUGUGUGAUUGAAAGGAGGCAUCCUCAUAUGGGAGAGAGAGAGGGGACUGUUGGACUUCACCUUUUGCUUUUAUCCUGCAGGUGUUGGAUUUUGUCUUUGUGUGGGUGCACUCGUGUGUGUGAGUCAGCUACAGGAAACACUAAUUCCAUCCCUGAAUGCAGCCUCCUGGGACACAUACUUCAAAACUGGAUGGCUUUUAGUUAUGAGCCUAUGAAAUGUGAAAAGAUGAGUUUCCUUUGUAAUGUUUCCCGGCCACAGUGCUCCUUAGGUUUUUGAGAAAAGUGGCCUGUUAAUGGAUCUCUAAGUUAUGCUAUCAUCUUGCAAUUGGAGUUGUUCUGUAACAGAAAAGGGAAAUGGGAUGAAAUCUCGUACGUGCAGGCUUUUAUGCUGUUGCACUAAAAUGAGUCAGCCCACAGGAGGUACAAUCUGAUGGUGCAAAGGGCUGAGAAGCCUGAGCUAGUUCUGUUGGACGCCAAGGGCAUGAAGAAGGAUGAUGAAAUUUUGAUCAAUGCGUUAAAUCCUCCCACAGCUCUGCCAGAAACCCUGCUGGCCCUUGUGCCACCUCCUUUUCAGCCAGCACCCUCUCUGCUGGUUCCCACUCUGCAACCAGUGGACCCUUCACUCAUGGCAACCUCCGGCCCACCCCCCUAUGGAAGGCAGGUAGCAGGGACCACACAACCCCCAAGAGUUGAGGGAAGCCAGGAUGUGCUCUCUACUUCCCGUAGGUAGUAGGGUGUGCAGUUCAGCCAGGGAGCAGGGGCUUCUCAAGAACGGCAGUUUCCACUCCCCGAGUUCCCAAUCAGAGGACUGAAUGCUAAUGGCCAGCCAGCAGGCCUGAUAUGAGUGCAUCCCCUCUUUUCUAUUUUGGAUCUUUUUAAUUGGAAGAACAAUAAUCCAUCCUAUAGACAGGACCCCAAGCAUAUGACUGAGUUAUUCUCCUCCAUCAUUUUUAAAAAGAUUUUUCCUUUUUCUCCCCAAAGCCCCCCAGUACAUAGCUGUAUAUUUUUAGUUGUGAGUCCUUAUAGCUGUGGCAUGUAGGAUGCUGCCUCAGCAUGGCCUGAUGAGUGGUGCCAUGUCCAUGCCCAGGAUCCCAACUGGCAAAACUCUGGGCUGCCGAAGCAGAGAGCAUGAACUUAACCACUUGGCCAUGGGGCCGGCCCCUCCUCCAUCUUUUUGACAUACCAUCCCACUUGGGCUGACAUUCAAGCCUUAAUGAAUAUUUUACUCACAGCGGGGGAGGCCAUAUGGUUAUUGAAAAGGCACAGGAGGAACCCCAUUGGCUCCAUUUCAAGGACGGGGACAAUCAGCCUAAUUUCACUGAGGCUGUCCCACAGUUGAACUAAACUGGGAUACAAAUGGAGGGGGAAUGCUCUGCCUAGAACACUACAGGAAAUGUAUUCUGGAAGGAUUGGGAAAAGGAGUCCCACAAAGUUCAGGAAGUUCAGCAAAAACCACAGAAGGAUCCGUCCCAGUUUUUAGAACAAGCAUAUCAAGCCUAUAGGAAGUACACCAGUGCUGACCCUGAGGCCCCAGAGAAUCAGAAAGUAAUCAACAUGACCUUCAGCAGUGGGAGUGCCCCAGAAUCAGGAGGAAACUACGGAAGGUCGAUGGGGCCCUCAUGCUGACCAUCUCCCACGUGGAUGACCUUGCUUUUAAGGUUUACAACUGUAGGGAUCAGGUCCAGGACAUGAAGGAACAAUGGAGAAUGAAGCAGCGGGUCUCUCUGCUGGUGGUGGUGCUCCAUCAAUGAGCCAUUGGGAAGACAGGGAGAAGAUCAAAAAAGGGACUGAGAAAGAUAAGAGGAGAACGUCCAACCCUGGGGAAAGAUCAGUGUGUAUGAUGUAAGGAAGAAGGACAUUAGAAGAAGGAGUGUCCCAGGUUGUAGAAGAUGGCCAAAGAAGGUGAGACACCCUUAACCCAAAUGGUGAAAAUAGAAGGGGGAGAUACAGAUGAGGAAUGAAUAGGCCCAGGGACCCUGCUUAGACUGAAGCAAGCUAUCUUUAUAUCCCCACAGUAGCCUCAGGUUCAAAUGACAGUGGGCAAAAAGAUAAUUGACUUUCUCAUCAAUACAGGGGCUACCUACUUUGUUGUUAACACACAUUUAUCCCCCAACUCAAAAGAAGCUAUCUAUGGUUGUUACCAGGGUGUCAGUGAAGACAAUGACCCACCCCUUUUUACAACCCUUGGACUGUCAUCUUGGAAAUACAAACCUGAGACACAGUUACAUACACAGAUACAUGCCCUAAUGCCCUAUUCCUCUUCUGGGUCAGGAUUUGCUUGCCAGGCUAAAUGCCCAAAUUAUUUGUUCCCCAGGACACUUAGAAGUGGAGGUCCCUCCGAGCUUGCCUUCACCUCUCAGACGCUAUUGUUGCAGCUUGAUGAUGGAUCUCAACCUGAGAUACCUGAGGAAAUUCUUGAUAGGGUAAGAGAGGACAUCUAGGCAAGUGGGAGGUAGGGAUGGACCAAAACCAUGGUUCCUGUGAAGGAGCAUGAGAGCCUCAAUCUAAAACAAUACCCUCUGAAAGAAAAAGCACAGAGAGAGGUAAAGCCCUAUUGAAGGUUUUUCUGCAGCAGGGCUUGAUUCACCCACGUUCUCACCUUACCAUACUCUCAUCUUACCAGUGUUCAAGCCCAAGUCCAAUGAAUACCAGUUCCUUCAAGACCUUCGAGCUAUAAAUCAGAUGGCUCCAGAUGUGCACCCAGUGGUUCCCAAUCUGAACACUUUGCUGACUAUUUUGUCAGGAGACCCGUGCUGGUUCACGGUCUUGGGUUUGAAAGAUGCCUUUUUCUGCAUUUCCUGGGAUGAAAGUUCCCAAGAGGCCUUUCCCUUUGAGUGUCAAGGUCCCAAGACCAAUGUCAAACAGAAGUUUUGCUGGUCCGUUUUGCCUCAGGGUUUUAAAAAUCUGCCCACGAUAUUUGGGGAAAUAUUGGCUAGGGACCUAAGGGAACUUCAGCUGGUGGAAGGGGCUCUUACAAUAUGUGGACGACGUUCUCGUUGCUAAUAAAUCUAAGGAAGCUUCAGCUGAAAACACCACUUGAAUUUUAAAAUUUCUUAGCAGAUAGAGGUUACAAGGUUUCAAAGAAGAAGACCCAAAUUUGUGAAAAGACAGUUAAAUACUUAGGGUUUGAACUGCCAGAAGGACAGAGAAGCCUGCUCCCAGAUAGGAGGGAAGCAAUCCCUUAAGUAGUGACUCUCACCACCCGUUUACAGAUGUGGGGAUUUUUAGGGAUGGCAGGCUUCUGUUGAAUUUGGAUUCCCAACUCAGGAUUAACUGUAAAACCUCUGUAUGAGGCCUUAAAGGGAGGAGACCUCGAGCCUUUGGUGUGGACACAAGUGUGCCAGAAUGCAAUCAGGUUAAAGAAAAAUUGUUAACUGCCUCAGUCUUGGGACUCCAAGAUUUGAGAAAGCCCUUUGCUCUUUUUGUACAUGAGAAACAGAGCCUUAGUUUGGACGUCCUGACCCAGAACUUUGGACCCACUAGGAGGCCUGUGGCCAUUUUUCUAAGCAGUUGGUCAGAGGAUGGCCACCUUGCUUCUGAGCUGUUGUCCGCCACCAGUGACAUACUACAGGAAACUGAAAAGUUCACACUGGGGCAACCCACCAUGGUGCACACUCCCCGCUGUGUCCUCCCUUUUUAGAACAGAUGGAGGACAUUGACUAACCUCAAGAAGAUUAGGUAGGUAUGAGGCUAUUUUAUUAGACCACCCAGAGGUAAGUUAAAAGCUAUUUCUACCUUAAACCCUGCAACCUGCUACCUACUGAUGUCAAACAGCCCUCCUUUUAUGACUGUCUUCAGAUCAUUGAACAGGUAUUCUCUAGUUGACCUGAUUAGACUGACCAACCUUUGGAGUAGCCAGACUUGGAAUUGCUCACUGAUGGAAGCAGCUUCAUGGAUCAGGGGCAAUGUCAAGCAGUGUACAUAGUUGUCACCUUAUAGGACACCAUGGAAACAAAGGCCCUACCUCCAGGUAUCUCAGCUCAAAAGGCUAAACUUAUAGCACUAACUAGGGCUCUUCAAAUAGGUAAAGACAACAGAGUCAAUAUAUAUAUACAGAUUCAAAAUGUGCCUUUUUAGUGGUCCAUGCCCACAGGGCCAUAUGGAAAGAUGGGGGACUCUUGACUGCUGGAAAGAGGGACACAAAAUAUUGCCAGGAAAUGCUAACAUUCUUAGAGGCCGUUAAUGACCCCAUGGCAGUAACUAUCGUUCACUGCCCUGGACAUCAGAAAGGGGACACUUUGGAAGCCAGAGGCAAUCAACUGGCUGAUCAGGCAGCCAAGACUGCUGCUAGGACUAUGAGUUUCAAGGCACUCCUGGCUCCCUUAGUUCCCCAAAUUGACUGUAUUCCAACCUAGCUACCCCCAGAAAGAUUUAGGGAGAGCCAGAGAAGGGGGAUUUGGCUCCUCCUCUCUGGAGCAUCCUGGCUGGAAAUGUACCUUGGAAGUACUCAUCCUGGUACCUGAAGCCCUUCUGGGAGAAAUUGUUAAUCAAACCCAUCAGAGCACUCACUAUGGGAGGGAUGCCACCUUGCAGUGGAUCCAAAGGUAUUUAGUCGGUCUGAAAUUGUAACAGAUCAUUCAGAAAGUUACCCAACAAUAUGUUAUGUGUGGCAAAAAUAAUCCCAGGACGGGGCUGCCCUCUUUGAACAAGGGGGUUCAACAUUGAGGAGCAGCUCCCUGUGAGGACUGACAAGUUGACUUUAUUAUGAUGCCUCGAGCCUCUGGGAAUGUCAAGUAUCUCCUAGUAUUCAUAGAUACCUUUACAGGAUGGGUUGAAGCUUUUCCUUCCAGAACUGAGAGGGCUAAUGAAGUGACCAAAGCUUUGUUAAAGGAGAUCAUUCCCAGGUACGGAUUCCCACUGUUGAUCCAGAGUGACAACAGAGUCGCAUUUAUCUCCCUAAUAACCCAAGAAAUAUCAAAAGGCUUGGGGAUCACUUAGAAACUCCAUGCCUCAUGGCAGCCCCAGUCAAUGGGGAAGACUGAAAAGACGAACCACAAAGAAGACUAUUGCCAAAAUUUGUCAGGAAACUAACUUAAUCUGGGACAAGGCGUUGCCCUCUGCCCUGCUGAGCAUCUGGGUAGCUCCCUGAAGUAGGCUUUAAUUGAGCCCCUUCGAAGUGAUGUCUGGGAGACCAUUCUCAGCUUCACCAAUGGGGGGAGAUUUUAUACAACAGAAAGAAAUAGCAAUCAGGCAGCACUUAAAAUUUUUAAAUGGAAUCCUAACUUCUCUUCAUGAGUUUGCCUCUCACAGAUCCCUGUUCCUGUCAGAUGUCCCACCCUACCACAUCAAGGCAGGUGACCAUGUUCUCCUUAAGUCUGGGAAGGAGCAUGGACCAAAGGAUCAACUAACCCCCAAGUGGACUGGGCCUUAUGAAGUCCUCCUGACCACCCAUUCAUCAGUCAAAUUGGCCAGAGUCAAGCCGUGGAUUCAUCAUACCUGAGUGAGGCUCACCUCCACCACAACCAGAGCCACUGGUCUUAUGAGCCACUGAAAGACCUUAAGCUGCUAUUCUGGGUUAAGAUAGCUGAUACCAAGCCGUCAGAUAAAUAAAAUUAUUUGGGGUCUUGCAUUCUGAGUUCUGGAAAUUUGGGUUAUCAAAUAUGGAAUAAAGUGCUGUUCUAAGUUAAAAUCAAUCAAAUAAAGAUAAUGCAAAAUGCAAAAUAUAGCCCAGUACCGAAGAGUAUUUUCAAUCUCAGGUUCAAAAAUUUGCUUCCUCAGUUUCCCCAUCUUUACCCCCUUUCAGCAAGAAGUAGCCAAACAAUCCAUAUGCCACUUCCUAGAAGAAUGAGGAAGGGAAAAUAGACAGUGGAGAUUAAAGCUGGGUACCUGAGGGUUACCAUAGAUAUUCAAUAAGCAACUUGCUGGUUUCUUGCUUAACUUGAGGAGUGACUCAGGGGUCUCAAGGAUUUGUGAGCUUGUUUUUCAGAAUACAGAGAAUAACUUUGGGGGGUUUGCAAUCACUGCAUGGCUGGCCCCCAGCUGCCAUUGGUGCCUAGAAGUCAGAUUUCCCAGGGGCUUAUGAGGAGUGACCCCUUUGUUUCUCUGAAGCUCCUCCUGCAAAGCCCCUUAGCUCUAUAAAACCCCCCUACUUUUUGCUUUUGUUAAGGUGGAUUUGAGCAAAUCCAUGCUCCCACCUUCUCAUUUUGG